CAGUACAACUUCCCACUUUCGUGGAUAUUCAUUGCCUGAAGGUGUAGAAACAGUCAUCCCUUCAGGAUUUAUGGUAGAAUCUAAGAUUCUUCAGUCCUUGGGCUAUCCCCUGCCACCGCCACUCUUGUUUGAGCUCAAUGGGAGAUUGGCUGGUAGUUUUGAAGAGCAUUUUGGUCAACUUCAUUAUUGGGAAGGGUAUCCUUUCGAUUUCUCUUAUGAUUAUGGGAGGUAUCCUAUCUGGGAUCAACUUGGUGGAACAUUAACUCGGCAAAUU
Lolium rigidum is the source of this 274-nucleotide long non-coding RNA. RefSeq lists it as uncharacterized. The record is from RefSeq and is a predicted model, not a curated record. NCBI's taxonomy places the organism in Eukaryota, Viridiplantae, Streptophyta, Magnoliopsida, Poales, Poaceae. The transcript is spliced from 3 exons.